GGCUUGCUCUCUCAAAAAAAUAGUCCUCAGGUGCUAGUGUUUGAACCUGAAGCUACAUAAGCACAGCAACAUCAACUCUGCUAUUUUUUAGAAGGGAUACCCUGUCAGCCAUUCUCUUUUACAUCUAAGUCUUAGGAGAAGGCAUAAUGUCUCUCCUCAUCUUUUCCAAAGGUGUAGUAUUCUCAGACAGAGACUGAGUUUAACUGGCUGAGAAAGGCAGUGUGAGGUAUGAUAGCAACAAUCACUCAGCAAAAUAGGCAAGCACUCCAUAUGGAAGCCUUUAGUUUAGCUCAGAGGUGGAAGGAGUUUAAAAAAAAAAAUUAUUAUAGCUAUCUCUAAUAUUUGUGUUUUAUUUCACAGAGUAUCACAGAAUAUGCCAAGUUGGAAGGGACCCACAAGGAUCACUGAGUCCAACUCCUAGCCCUGCACAGGACCAUUCCUAAGUCACACCAUGUGCUGGAGAGUAUUGUCCAAAUGCUUCUUGAACUCUGUCAGUUUUGGUGCUGGGAUCACUUCCUGGGGAGCCUGUUCCAGCACCCAACCACCUUCUGGGUGAAGAACCUUUUUCUAAUAUCCAACAUUGUGAUACAGAGAGAUGGGGAAAGGAACGGACUCCUGAAGCGCUGACCACAGAACUAAAAACCAAACUGCAACUUACCCAACUCUGCUCUAGCACAUUCCCAUCAGAAGUAAGGAAACCUUCAGUGAAAGAAAGAGUUGGGGAAAGGGACUAGAAAAUCACAAUAGGAAAGACUGUACAAAGACAUGGAAAAAGCGUGAAAUAGUUCUACAGGGAGAUCAAUGGACAAAGGCCACAUCCAUUAAAAAGCAGCAUGGUACAAAAUGAGGAGCGAAGUCCCUCCCACUGUAAGUGAAGAGCAGGUUUGAGACCACCUAAUGAAACUGAAUAUCCACAAGUCUAUGGGGCCUGAUGAGAUGCAUCCCAAGGGCCUGAGGGAACUGGCUGAUGUUGUUCCUCUCUCCACCAUAUUUGAAAAAUCCUGGCAGUC
Long non-coding RNA from Myiozetetes cayanensis, 1010 nucleotides. RefSeq lists it as uncharacterized. The transcript has 3 exons. The record is from RefSeq and is a predicted model, not a curated record. Lineage: Eukaryota; Metazoa; Chordata; Aves; Passeriformes; Tyrannidae.